GACGAACGCUGGCGGCGUGCUUAACACAUGCAAGUCGAACGGAAAGGCCCCUUUGGGGGUACUCGAGUGGCGAACGGGUGAGUAACACGUGAGUAACCUGCCCUUGACUUCGGGAUAACUUCAGAAAACUGGGGCUAAUACCGGAUAGGAAUCCUUGCUGCAUGGUGGGGGUUGGAAAGCUUCGGGGGUUUUGGAUGGGCUUGCGGCGUAUCAGCUUGGUGGUGGGGGAGUGGAUUGCCGAGGUUUUGAUGGGUAGCUGGCCUGAGAGGGUGACCGGUCACAUUGGGACUGAGGGACGGCCCAGGCACCGACGGGUGGCAGCAGUGGGGAAUAUUGCACGAUGGGCGGAAGCCUAAUGCAGCAACGCCGCGGGCGGGAUGACGGCCUUCGGGUUGUAGACCGCUGUCAGCAGGGGCGAAGCUUGUGGUGACGGUACCUGCAGAAGAAGCACCGGCUAACUACGUG
This 465-nucleotide ribosomal RNA is filed under the name uncultured bacterium. RNAcentral describes it as "partial 16S ribosomal RNA". It matches the Rfam family "Bacterial small subunit ribosomal RNA", at positions 28 to 507 of the family's 1533-position model. The record is from RNAcentral.